GAUGAACGCUAGCGGCAGGCUUAACACAUGCAAGUCGAGGGGUAUAGUAGCAAUACUAGAGACCGGCGCACGGGUGCGUAACGCGUAUGCAAUCUACCUUUUGCAGAGGGAUAGCCCAGAGAAAUUUGGAUUAAUACCUCAUAGUAUAGCGACAUCGCAUGAUGAUGCUAUUAAAGUCACAACGGCAAAAGAUGAGCAUGCGUCCCAUUAGUUAGUUGGUAAGGUAACGGCUUACCAAGACGAUGAUGGGUAGGGGUCCUGAGAGGGAGAUCCCCCACACUGGUACUGAGACACGGACCAGACUCCUACGGGAGGCAGCAGUGAGGAAUAUUGGUCAAUGGUCGCAAGACUGAACCAGCCAUGCCGCGUGCAGGAAGACGGUCCUAUGGAUUGUAAACUGCUUUUAUACAGGAAGAAACCCUCCCACGUGUGGGAGCUUGACGGUACUGUAGGAAUAAGGAUCGGCUAACUCCGUGCC
Molecule: ribosomal RNA, 478 nt
Filed under: uncultured bacterium
Lineage: Bacteria
Description: bacterial SSU rRNA
Rfam family: Bacterial small subunit ribosomal RNA
Source: RNAcentral